GGGAGCCAGUACUUAAAGAUGGGGAGGGAGCUCUUUAUCGGGGAGUGUAAUGAUAGGACAAGGGGUAACGGUUUUAAAUUGAA
Molecule: long non-coding RNA, 83 nt
Organism: Aquila chrysaetos chrysaetos
Lineage: Eukaryota; Metazoa; Chordata; Aves; Accipitriformes; Accipitridae
Exons: 3
Source: RefSeq, a predicted model, not a curated record